RNAcentral lists this small RNA (29 nucleotides) under Bombyx mori (domestic silkworm). RNAcentral describes it as "ovarian small RNA-35689". Lineage: Eukaryota; Metazoa; Arthropoda; Insecta; Lepidoptera; Bombycidae. The record is from RNAcentral.
UGUCCGUCUCAGUUGGCGCGCGCGCCGCG